Molecule: ribosomal RNA, 1117 nt
Filed under: Triticum aestivum (bread wheat)
Lineage: Eukaryota; Viridiplantae; Streptophyta; Magnoliopsida; Poales; Poaceae
Description: partial small subunit ribosomal RNA
Source: RNAcentral
GAUGCCUCUCUCUCUCCGUGUACACCCUCUCUCUCUAUACCUCCCCUCUCCCGUUCGCAUCCGCAGCUUCACACCAGACACCACGGCCACAUCUCCCUCAAACCAGCCAGAAAUUUCAUCCAGCCAUGGCCUUCCCCGUGGCCCUGCUCUACAUCACUCACCACCACCACCCUAGCAUGGAGCCCAGCCGUCCACGCACCUGCUCUAUCCUCCCCAACAGACUAGAUCGGUAUCGGUCACUUCUCUUCCCCCAUCGUUCCUGCUCCGGCAGCCUCCACCACCGCCUUCUAUGACCCGUGCUACAGCAGCAACGUCCCAUCUUCCCCCAGCCAUCACCUUCCUCCCCCGUUCCUUGACCCGCCGACAGUGCCACCAUCACGACCACAACCAAUUACACGGCCGAGAUCUGCCUCAGGAGGCGACACCGCGACCCCGCCAAAUCAAGUCCAGCCGACGGCCGGAGGAGAACUGUGCAAGGAGGAGGAGCUCCAUGCGGCCGCCACGCCCAUGGAACGAGCAGCUCCGGUGCAGGCUGUCGACGCUCGCCAAAGAGCGAGGUGCUGCUGCCCGCUCCCAACUCUUUCGCCCCCCUCUGCUGCGUUGGGAGCUUGGGAUGCAUGAGUGGUGCUUGUCAUCCUGGUCGUGUACCCAUACUUCAACGGCGUCGCAAACAUACGCAAAUGGAGAAGGCCGGGGUAAAGCCGGGUCUCCUGUACUCGUGGUUGCCUCGAGGUGGCCUGUGGAAAGCGGCUCGAAAGCUUGCCUUGUUUUUUCUCUUCAGGCACAACCAGACCCGUCCAUCCCCAUACUUUUUCUUCAUCCGUCUUGUUCUUCUGUUGCUUUUCCCCAAGGAUUAUUGUCCAGCUCUUUAUUCUUUUUUACUUCUUGAGAUUGCAACAUGUAGAUACCAUCAAACUCUAUGUCUUUAGCUCACGCUAUGGUCUAAUUUUCAGCUACAGCUACACACCUCAUACUCUGUCGUGCGCAGCUGCUCACUAGUUAACAUGACGACGCGCCUAUUAUGUGUGUUUGAUCAGCUGACGAGUUCGUAAAUCUGGGGGUGCUCCCAUUGACUGCUGAAUCUUCAUGCUUUUGUAGAUUAUAUAUACAUUCCAAU